AGUGAACGCUGGCGGUAGGCCUAACACAUGCAAGUCGAACGGCAGCACAGUAAGAGCUUGCUCUUACGGGUGGCGAGUGGCGGACGGGUGAUGAAUACAUCGGUAUCUACUUUUUCGUGGGGGAUAACGUAGGGAAACUUACGCUAAUACCGCAUACGACCUACGUGUGAAAGCAGGGGAUCUUCGGACCUUGCGCGAUUGAAUGAGCCGAUGUCGGAUUAGCUAGUUGGCGGGGUAAAGGCCCACCAAGGCGACGAUCCGUAGCUGGUCUGAGAGGAUGAUCAGCCACACUGGAACUGAGACACGGUCCAGACUCCUACGGGAGGCAGCAGUGGGGAAUAUUGGACAAUGGGCGCAAGCCUGAUCCAGCCAUACCGCGUGGGUGAAGAAGGCCUUCGGGUUGUAAAGCACUUUUGUUGGGAAAGAAAAGCAGCAGGUUAAUACCCCGCUGUUCUGACGGUACCAAAAGAAUAAGCACCGGCUAACUUCGUG
This 492-nucleotide ribosomal RNA is filed under the name uncultured bacterium. RNAcentral's name for it is "partial 16S ribosomal RNA". It matches the Rfam family "Bacterial small subunit ribosomal RNA", at positions 29 to 507 of the family's 1533-position model. The record is from RNAcentral.